RNAcentral lists this ribosomal RNA (253 nucleotides) under uncultured bacterium. Its description in RNAcentral is "partial 16S ribosomal RNA". It matches the Rfam family "Bacterial small subunit ribosomal RNA", at positions 524 to 776 of the family's 1533-position model. The record is from RNAcentral.
UACAGAGGGUGCAAGCGUUGCUCGGAAUCAUUGGGCGUAAAGGGCAGGUAGGUGGUCUCAUUUGUCUGGGGUGAAAGCCUUGGGCUUAACCCAAGAAGUGCCCCGGAAACGGUGAGACUAGAGUACUGGAGAGGGUCGUGGAAUUCCCGGUGUAGCGGUGAAAUGCGUAGAGAUCGGGAGGAACACCAGAGGCGAAGGCGGCGACCUGGACAGUGACUGACACUCAACUGCGAAAGCGUGGGGAGCAAACAGG